RNAcentral lists this ribosomal RNA (301 nucleotides) under uncultured bacterium. Its description in RNAcentral is "partial 16S ribosomal RNA". It matches the Rfam family "Bacterial small subunit ribosomal RNA", at positions 509 to 809 of the family's 1533-position model. The record is from RNAcentral.
CAGCAGCCACGGUAAUACGAAGGGUGCAAGCGUUACUCGGAAUUACUGGGCGUAAAGCGUGCGUAGGUGGUGGUUUAAGUCCGUUGUGAAAGCCCUGGGCUCAACCUGGGAAUUGCAGUGGAUACUGGGUCACUAGAGUGUGGUAGAGGAUAGUGGAAUUUCCGGUGUAGCAGUGAAAUGCGUAGAGAUCGGAAGGAACAUCUGUGGCGAAGGCGACUCACUGGCCCGGAACUGACGCUGAGGUACGAAAGCGUGGGGAGCAAACAGGAUUAGAUACCCCUGUAGUCCCUGUCUCUUAUAU